Cyphomyrmex costatus is the source of this 870-nucleotide long non-coding RNA. RefSeq lists it as uncharacterized. The transcript is spliced from 3 exons. The record is from RefSeq and is a predicted model, not a curated record. NCBI's taxonomy places the organism in Eukaryota, Metazoa, Arthropoda, Insecta, Hymenoptera, Formicidae.
UACGUUAUGUCAACUGGAAAAUUAAAAAGUUUGGCUCGUAUUUAAGACGCGCUUAUAAUAAAGUUAGCGCGCGAUAAUAUUUGUAAUACAAAUAGGAAUAUUUUAAUUAUUUAUCUUUUAUAAGUCUUAAGACUUGGAGGCACGUGAGGAGGCUUAUAAAAGAUCGCUUGAUCCUAAAUCUGAGGAGGAACGGACAAAGGCUGAAGUAAAACGAUUGCAAGAGUGGUAUUAUAAGCAAAUAGAAGAAGAGAUGAUGUUUACACGAGAACUUUUUUUGGAAAAGCUUAAGAGCUCAUCAGAUGAUUCAACAUCUAAUGUGGGAGACUUUCGAAUCAAAAUUAGAUGGAAGGUACAAAAUGGUGAUUUGAUAAAUGGUGAAUAUAAUUAUGAUAAUUUACAUCAGUGCUUAAAUUUAGUUGCACAUUUGGGGCCGAUUUCGUUGUUGACGCCUACUUGUCCCCCCUUGCCGCGUAUCCCAUAGCAACAAAUCUCCCGAUGCUCUUAUAAACAACGCGCGUACCGGCUUACCUUAAGAGCGUCUGUACUUACGAUGGGAUCAGUAUCGUGAGGCUGGUAUGAAAUUACAUUAUCCAUCUAUUGUUAUACGCUAAUCUAAAAUAUUGUAUAUCGACAUAUGUAACAGGCGUGUUGCUGCAUCGUGGGCAACCCUUAGAAAAGUUUAUGAAUUAAUGUUAUGGCAAUUGCGAGGACGACGGCAAAGGCAGACAAAUGCCGGUACAUUAUGGUUCUAAAGAAUUGAAUUUUGUGACUAUUUCAUCUCCAUUAACAACGCAACUUCCACAAGAUGAUAUAACAAGAACCGCUGCAUCCCCAUACUGCAGAACAAUAAUUAAAAAAAUAUUUAACACA